Long non-coding RNA from Mercurialis annua (annual mercury), 573 nucleotides. RefSeq lists it as uncharacterized. The transcript is spliced from 5 exons. The record is from RefSeq and is a predicted model, not a curated record. NCBI's taxonomy places the organism in Eukaryota, Viridiplantae, Streptophyta, Magnoliopsida, Malpighiales, Euphorbiaceae.
GUUUUGCCCCCUGAUUUCUCUCGAUCUAUCCGCGUUUUAAAAACGCUUUCUAAACCAAAUAUCUUCACCACACAUCAGUCUAGCCCUAGCCGCUUUCCUCAUUCAAUUUCGCUGAGAAUCCUUUCCGAAAUCAUCAACCAAAGUUUGUCAAAAAUCUUCGAUCCAAAUCCAGUUCCGAAACGUUCCAGUCGAAGAAGACUCACGUACCUACAAGUCCCAAUUUUCGUUUCGUAAAACGCCGUUCGGAGGUCGAAAUCAAUUCCGUUUGUUUUCCGUGAAAGUAGACUCACACAUCUACGUUUCUACACUUUUUGUUCGUCAAACGACCUGUCGACUGUUCGUGCUUCGGAGUCUACGCAGGGUUAGCUGUUUGCCAAGAUCACGUGGAUAAGCAAGCUGUUUAUGAUUUGAAAGCUGGUCCACUCCGAUUCUUUUGAUUCCUCGGAGGUUUUUAUGUUAUUAAACUAGUUUCUAUUUUUCGAACUCUUAGACCGCAGUAGAACUAGUUAUUUAUUUCAUUGGAUUAUUAUACUUUGGGAUUAUCGAUUUGCUCGAUUAUUUAUUGGCAUGUUC